Small nucleolar RNA from Pseudophryne corroboree (corroboree frog), 136 nucleotides. RefSeq annotates it as small nucleolar RNA SNORA5. Lineage: Eukaryota; Metazoa; Chordata; Amphibia; Anura; Myobatrachidae. The record is from RefSeq and is a predicted model, not a curated record. The transcript has a single exon.
UGCAGCCUCGUCAAAUUCAGUCCCGCCCACUAAAUGGCGGUCACUGGCCCAAUGGGCUGCGACACUAUACCUGUAGCUCAUGGGCUUCACUUUCUCCUACGUAGAAUGUGAGGAUAUAAUUGCACUACAGACACCU